This 72-nucleotide transfer RNA is filed under the name Paramuricea clavata. It matches the Rfam family "tRNA". From Rfam's summary of the family: Transfer RNA (tRNA) molecules are approximately 80 nucleotides in length. Their secondary structure includes four short double-helical elements and three loops (D, anti-codon, and T loops). The record is from Rfam by way of RNAcentral. Lineage: Eukaryota; Metazoa; Cnidaria; Anthozoa; Malacalcyonacea; Plexauridae.
GCCUCUGUACUCAGUCGGUUAGAGCGCUGCACCGGAAUCGCAGGGCCGUAGGUUCAAUUCCUACCAGAGGAC